CGUCCUCGCCAACCACGUCGGUCAAAUUGAUGUGGUGAUAAGUCGCAGCUUCAACGCUCUGACUGUCAGAGCUUGCAUCGAAAACCUUUUCUGUGAAGGACACAUCAACUCCAAGGGGAAACCUCUCGACUACACGGCCAACUGCACCGCCGUCUGCCCUCCCGAACCUUUGCCCGGAGGCCGAGUUGAAAAAAACAGGAACUCUCAUCACUGGAUCAUCUCUGUCAUUGUCAUCGUCAUUGUCAUAGUGAUAGCGCUUGCAUGCAUCAUCCUGUGCUGCAGAUAUGAAAAUCUCAGGAGAUGCCGCUGUGGGCAAACCAGAGGACUUUACAUCGUUGCGAAUAAAGAAGCAGCAAAACCAGAAAUUGUGUAGAAAGAACAGAUCUGAAUCGAUGAUCUUUCCCCUUUUUUCACUUUAAAGCAGAAUGUGCAUGAAAAGGUUAAUCUCCACCUGUGUGGAUGCUUUCUGUAGUUUCCCACUGCAUCUACCCAGUAAGUGUAGACGCAGUUGGAGUGUAGGCACUUCCUCUGGACUUAUUUACAGUUUCUCUUUGUUCGUACUUUGGCACAGUUGAUGACAGCACAGUGGUGGUAAUGAGUGACAGAAUGACACUUAUUGACUGGACGCUGGAGACUUGAGGUGCUAAACUUUAACUCAUGUGUGACCUUUUAUUUUAAGCAUUACUU
Neolamprologus brichardi is the source of this 687-nucleotide non-coding RNA. Lineage: Eukaryota; Metazoa; Chordata; Actinopteri; Cichliformes; Cichlidae. The record is from RefSeq and is a predicted model, not a curated record.